RNAcentral lists this ribosomal RNA (253 nucleotides) under uncultured Ktedonobacter sp. RNAcentral's name for it is "partial 16S ribosomal RNA". It matches the Rfam family "Bacterial small subunit ribosomal RNA", at positions 524 to 776 of the family's 1533-position model. Lineage: Bacteria; Bacillati; Chloroflexota; Ktedonobacteria; Ktedonobacterales; Ktedonobacteraceae. The record is from RNAcentral.
UACGUAGGGGGCAAGCGUUGUCCGGAUUUAUUGGGCGUAAAGCGCAUGCAGGCGGUCGUCUAAGUUUGAAGUGACAGUUUCCGGCUCAACCGGGAAAGUGCUUUGAAAACUGGCCGACUUGAGGGCUUCAGAGGGACACGGAAUUCCGGGUGGAGUGGUGAAAUGCGUAGAUAUCCGGAGGAACACCAAAGGCGAAGGCAGUGUCCUGGGGAGCACCUGACGCUCAGAUGCGAAAGCCAGGGGAGCGAACGGG